RNAcentral lists this ribosomal RNA (1242 nucleotides) under metagenome. RNAcentral's name for it is "bacterial LSU rRNA". It matches the Rfam family "Bacterial large subunit ribosomal RNA", at positions 1564 to 2816 of the family's 2925-position model. The record is from RNAcentral.
UGAAUACGAGACGCUAAGGCGUCGAAGUAGUGUAUGUCAUACUUCCAAGAAAAGCUUGCACUGUCAUAGAUAAAAAACGCCUGUACCAUAACCGACACAGGUGGGUAGGUAGAGUAUACUAAGGGGCGCGAGAUAACUCUCUCUAAGGAACUCGGCAAAAUAACUCCGUAACUUCGGGAGAAGGAGUGCCUUAUUCUUAAGGUUGCAAUAACAAGAUCCAAGCAACUGUUUAUCAAAAACACAGGUCUCCGCUAAGUCGUAAGACGAUGUAUGGGGGCUGACGCCUGCCCAGUGCCAGAAGGUUAAAGAAGCUGGUUAGCAUUUGCGAAGCUAGUAACUGAAGCCCUGGUGAACGGCGGCCGUAACAAUAACGGUCCUAAGGUAGCGAAAUUCCUUGUCGGGUAAGUUCCGACCCGCACGAAAGGCGUAAUGAUUUGGAUACUGUCUCGGAGAGGGGCUCGGUGAAAUAGACUUGUCUGUGAAGAUGCGGACUACCUGCACCAGGACAGAAAGACCCUAUGAAGCUUUACUGUAACUUGAAAUUGAAAUCGGACUUUAUUCGCGCAGUAUAGGUGGGAGGCGUUGAUUAUAAUCUUGCGGGAUUAUUGGAGCCAUUAGUGAGAUACCACUCUUGUAAUGUUAGAUUUCUAACUUUGAAUCAUUAUCUGGUCAAAGAACAGUUUCAGGCGGGCAGUUUGACUGGGGCGGUCGCCUCCCAAACGGUAACGGAGGCGUACAAAGGUUUCCUCUGAACGGUUAGAAAUCGUAUCUAGAGUGUAAAGGCAUAAGGAAGCUUGACUGUGAGACCUACAAGUCGAGCAGGGACGAAAGUCGGUCUUAGUGAUCUGACGGUACUGAGUGGAAAGGCCGUCACUCAACGGAUAAAAGUUACUCUAGGAUAACAGGCUGAUCUCCCCCAAGAGUUCACAUCGACGGGGAGGUUUGGCACCUCGAUGUCGGCUCAUCGCAUCCUGGGGCGGUAGUACGUCCCAAGGGUUGGGCUGUUCGCCCAUGAAAGCGGUACGCGAGCUGGGUUCAGAACGUCGUGAGACAGUUCGGUCCAUAUCCGGUGUAGGCGUUAGAAUAUUGAGAGGAGCCUUCUUUAGUACGAGAGGACCGAGAAGGACAUACCUCUGGUGUACCAGUUAUCGUGCCAACGGUAGACGCUGGGUAGCUAUGUAUGGAGUGGAUAACCGCUGAAAGCAUCUAAGUGGGAAGCCCACCUCAAGAUAAGUAUUCUCC